GGCAGUGUAGCCAAGUGGUUACGGCGUCACGUUUAGGUAUCACCAAUCACCGUGAUGGGUUUCCCGCGCGAGUUCGAAUCUCGUCACUGUCA
RNAcentral lists this transfer RNA (92 nucleotides) under Thelephora ganbajun. RNAcentral's name for it is "tRNA-Leu". It matches the Rfam family "tRNA". From Rfam's summary of the family: Transfer RNA (tRNA) molecules are approximately 80 nucleotides in length. Their secondary structure includes four short double-helical elements and three loops (D, anti-codon, and T loops). Further hydrogen bonds mediate the characteristic L-shaped molecular structure. tRNAs have two regions of fundamental functional importance: the anti-codon, which is responsible for specific mRNA codon recognition, and the 3' end, to which the tRNAs corresponding amino acid is attached (by aminoacyl-tRNA synthetases). tRNAs cope with the degeneracy of the genetic code in two manners: having more than one tRNA (with a specific anti-codon) for a particular amino acid; and 'wobble' base-pairing, i.e. permitting non-standard base-pairing at the 3rd anti-codon position. Lineage: Eukaryota; Fungi; Basidiomycota; Agaricomycetes; Thelephorales; Thelephoraceae. The record is from RNAcentral.